AAUAACAUUGUCAUAUUUUUUACAAAAGACUGUUAAAAGAAGCUUGUAUCUUUAUAACACGGAAUAUAAAUACUUUCCUUUACAAGUUCUAAGUAGCUUAAGCGUUUUUAAUGGGGUUUUGUUCCUGUAUUUUGUGGUUUCUCAUUCUCUUUUUCGUUUCCUUCAUGGUAGCAGGUGUGGCCUCAUUCUUCUACGUAAUCUUAUAUCCACUGACAGUUUGUUGUGACUGUUUAGAACCUUGUACAGACUGUUUAUUGGGAGGAGUACAGUUCCCCCAUUAUUGCGCAGAAAGAAUGAUGGAUUGAGACUGUUAUAGUUUGAAAAUGUAGGUACAUUAAUUUGUGUAUGUUGUGUUCCUAUUCUAUAUAAUUUUAUUUAUAUUUUAUGAGAAGCAAUGUAGUGCCAUGUUUUGUCGGUGUAUAUUAGUAAAAUAUUAUUAUCUGUACUACUACAAAAAAUAUGAUUAUGUAUAU
Plodia interpunctella (Indianmeal moth) is the source of this 473-nucleotide long non-coding RNA. RefSeq lists it as uncharacterized. The transcript has 3 exons. Lineage: Eukaryota; Metazoa; Arthropoda; Insecta; Lepidoptera; Pyralidae. The record is from RefSeq and is a predicted model, not a curated record.